ACCAGACUGCUGCAGGGACCACUCUUUGUUAGGGCUGCUACAGCAGUCCAGCUGGCACAAGGGGGUAGUGUCCCCAGAUACCAACUGUCUGGGCCUCAGAAACUCCUGACGGCAAGUAGCCCUGAGCUGCUCACCAGG
Long non-coding RNA from Gavialis gangeticus (Gharial), 138 nucleotides. RefSeq lists it as uncharacterized. The record is from RefSeq and is a predicted model, not a curated record. NCBI's taxonomy places the organism in Eukaryota, Metazoa, Chordata, Crocodylia, Gavialidae. The transcript is spliced from 3 exons.